AAUAGAAUUGCUGGAUCCUAUGGUAAAUGUAUAUUUAACUUUAUAAGAAACUGCCAAACUAUCUUCCAAAGUGGCUCUCACCACUUUGCAUUCCUACCAGCAAU
RNAcentral lists this microRNA precursor (104 nucleotides) under Marmota monax (woodchuck). The record is from RNAcentral. Lineage: Eukaryota; Metazoa; Chordata; Mammalia; Rodentia; Sciuridae.